RNAcentral lists this ribosomal RNA (444 nucleotides) under uncultured bacterium. Its description in RNAcentral is "SSU rRNA". It matches the Rfam family "Bacterial small subunit ribosomal RNA", at positions 26 to 518 of the family's 1533-position model. The record is from RNAcentral.
AGAGCGAACGCUGGCGGCAGGCUUAACACAUGCAAGUCGAGCGCCCCGCAAGGGGAGCGGCAGACGGGAGAGUAACACGUGGGAACGUACCUUUCGGUUCGGAACAACCCAGGGAAACUUGGGCUAAUACCGGAUACGUCCGUAAGGAGAAAGAUUUAUCGCCGAAAGAUCGGCCCGCGUCUGAUUAGCUAGUUGGUGAGGUAACGGCUCACCAAGGCGACGAUCAGUAGCUGGUCUGAGAGGAUGAUCAGCCUCACUGGGACUGAGACACGGCCCAGACUCCUACGGGAGGCAGCAGUGGGGAAUAUUGGACAAUGGGCGCAAGCCUGAUCCAGCCAUGCCGCGUGGGUGAUGAAGGCCCUAGGGUUGUAAAGCCCUUUCGGGCGGGAAGAUAAUGACGGUACCCGCAGAAGAAGCCCCGGCUAACUUCGUGCCAGCAGCCGC